This 82-nucleotide non-coding RNA is filed under the name Parahaemophilus parainfluenzae. RNAcentral describes it as "Haemophilus parainfluenzae TPP riboswitch (THI element)". It matches the Rfam family "TPP riboswitch aptamer (THI element)", at positions 7 to 92 of the family's 105-position model. From Rfam's summary of the family: Vitamin B(1) in its active form thiamin pyrophosphate (TPP) is an essential coenzyme that is synthesised by coupling of pyrimidine and thiazole moieties in bacteria. The previously detected thiamin-regulatory element, thi box was extended, resulting in a new, highly conserved RNA secondary structure, the THI element, which is widely distributed in eubacteria and also occurs in some archaea. The record is from RNAcentral. Lineage: Bacteria; Pseudomonadati; Pseudomonadota; Gammaproteobacteria; Pasteurellales; Pasteurellaceae.
UAGUCGGGGUGCCAAUACUAAUGGCUGAGAAACACCCGUGAACCUGAAACAGAUAAUGCUGGCGUAGGAAACUAAUCAUCUC